AGAGUUUGAUCCUGGCUCAGAUUGAACGCUGGCGGCAGGCCUAACACAUGCAAGUCGAGCGGAUGAUAGGAGCUUGCUCCUGGAUUCAGCGGCGGACGGGUGAGUAAUGCCUAGGAAUCUGCCUGGUAGUGGGGGACAACGUUUCGAAAGGAACGCUAAUACCGCAUACGUCCUACGGGAGAAAGCAGGGGACCUUAGGGCCUUGCGCUAUCAGAUGAGCCUAGGUCGGAUUAGCUAGUUGGUGAGGUAAUGGCUCACCAAGGCGACGAUCCGUAACUGGUCUGAGAGGAUGAUCAGUCACACUGGAACUGAGACACGGUCCAGACUCCUACGGGAGGCAGCAGUGGGGAAUAUUGGACAAUGGGCGAAAGCCUGAUCCAGCCAUGCCGCGUGUGUGAAGAAGGUCUUCGGAUUGUAAAGCACUUUAAGUUGGGAGGAAGGGUUGUAGAUUAAUACUCUGCAAUUUUGACGUUACCGACAGAAUAAGCACCGGCUAACUCUGUGCCAGCAGCCGCGGUAAUAC
RNAcentral lists this ribosomal RNA (523 nucleotides) under Pseudomonas fulva. RNAcentral describes it as "bacterial SSU rRNA". It matches the Rfam family "Bacterial small subunit ribosomal RNA", at positions 8 to 526 of the family's 1533-position model. Lineage: Bacteria; Pseudomonadati; Pseudomonadota; Gammaproteobacteria; Pseudomonadales; Pseudomonadaceae. The record is from RNAcentral.